GCAGCUGCCAUCAGUUCAGCUCCAACACAAGCCAUGAUCUCUGCAUCUCUGUUGCUGCUGCUGGCAGCCUCAUAUGUGAGGAGUGAUGUUGUUCUUACUCAACCGAGUUCGAUAAUAACACAGCAUGGGCAGUCAAUCGGUCUGACCUGCAACGUAAAGUAUUCAUUGUCCAGCUGCUGUUAUUACACACACUGGAUUCGGCAGCCCGCAGGGAAAGCACUGGAAUGGGUUGCAGGCAUUGACUAUGAUGGGGACACAUAUUACAGUGAUAAACUGAAAAACAAGUUCAGCAUCUCCAGAGACACCUCCAGCAGCACUGUGACUCUACAGGGCCAGAAUCUCCAGGCUGGAGACACAGCUGUGUAUUACUGCGCCCGAGAGGCACUGUGA
Molecule: non-coding RNA, 390 nt
Organism: Sardina pilchardus (European sardine)
Lineage: Eukaryota; Metazoa; Chordata; Actinopteri; Clupeiformes; Clupeidae
Source: the annotation of a RefSeq genome assembly